UAGAAAGUUACUUCGGUACAUCGGUGACAGGUGGUGCAUGGUUGUCGUCAGCUCGUGUCGUGAGAUGUUGGGUUAAGUCCCGCAACCGAGCGCAACCCCUAUUGUUAGUUGCCAUCAUUCAGUUGGGCACUCUAGCGAGACUGCCAGUGAUAAACUGGAGGAAGGUGGGGAUGACGUCAAAUCAUCAUGCCCCUUAUGACCUGGGCUACAAACGUGAUACAAUGGCUGAAACAAAGGGCAGCGAAGCAGUGAUGUGAAGCGAAACCCAAAAAAGCAGUCUCAGUUCGGAUUGAAGUCUGCAACUCGACUUCAUGAAGUCGGAAUCGCUAGUAAUCGCGAAUCAGAACGUCGCGGUGAAUACGUUCUCGGGGUUU
This 374-nucleotide ribosomal RNA is filed under the name uncultured Acholeplasma sp. RNAcentral's name for it is "bacterial SSU rRNA". It matches the Rfam family "Bacterial small subunit ribosomal RNA", at positions 1008 to 1382 of the family's 1533-position model. The record is from RNAcentral. Lineage: Bacteria; Bacillati; Mycoplasmatota; Mollicutes; Acholeplasmatales; Acholeplasmataceae.